AUUAAUUAUUAUUGGAAACAAUUUCCAGUGAAUUUAAAUCCUCAUGUCUAUGCAGUAGGGCUGCAUCGUGCUCUGGCUCAUUAAUUUAUUAAACAUCAAUGGUGAUGCAGUUCUUUGAUCCUCUUAAAAAUUAACCACCUACGCCUGUAUCUUAACCAAUUCUUGAGCCAUGGAAAUAUUCCCUCUCUCCUGGACACUUCAGCUCAUCAACAAACCCUUAGCAGUGCCUUUUCCUGAGAAGUUUUCAAAUAUCAUAUGAUUAAUAUGUGUUUCCCUUAUUAUUUUUCAGAUCUGUAUGUGGAAAGGUGCAGUUUUCUCUACAGAAAUAUGUUGUUCACCGAGGAGAUAAAAUACUUCACUACAAUGCCCCACAGCCCCUAAAACCAGAUGGUCUAGGCAGAGUUUACUGCUGGACUUUGUUCCUCUGGAGAUGGGAGCUUCCCUCCCUGGAAGGAGCCCUUCCAAAAGCCGCCUCUGAGUUGCUAAGAAACAGCUUGUCACUGUGGCAUGGGCUGUAAUCAGUUGCGUACAGAGCAUUCAACGCUCCUGGUACGUCUGCAUCAAUUAUGCAUCGUCGGUGUGAUUUUUCUUCCUGUGGAAACUUGGCUUCCAGAGGCUCUUUGUGGUGCUCCAGCCAUGACCUAAACCCUCCUUUGCUGAAUAAUUCCUACCGAGACAACACAGUUUCCCCGCUGUGUUUUCCACGCUGCCGUGUUUCAGCAAGGCAAAUAAAUCAGGCUGUCUCCUGCCACCGG
Molecule: long non-coding RNA, 755 nt
Organism: Corapipo altera (White-ruffed manakin)
Lineage: Eukaryota; Metazoa; Chordata; Aves; Passeriformes; Pipridae
Exons: 4
Source: RefSeq, a predicted model, not a curated record